This 71-nucleotide transfer RNA is filed under the name Trichechus manatus latirostris (Florida manatee). RNAcentral's name for it is "tRNA-Glu (TTC) (tRNA-Glu-TTC-28-1)". It matches the Rfam family "tRNA". Rfam says of the family: Transfer RNA (tRNA) molecules are approximately 80 nucleotides in length. Lineage: Eukaryota; Metazoa; Chordata; Mammalia; Sirenia; Trichechidae. The record is from Rfam by way of RNAcentral.
GCAUUGGUGGUUCAGUGCUAGAAUUCUUGCCUUUCAUGCAGGAGACCUGGGUUCUAUUCCCAGCCAAUGCG